GGAUUGUGGCUCAAUGGUAGAGUGCUCUCCUAGCAUGCAUGAGGCCCUGGGUUUGAACCUCAGCACCA
This 68-nucleotide transfer RNA is filed under the name Marmota monax (woodchuck). RNAcentral describes it as "tRNA.Ala". Lineage: Eukaryota; Metazoa; Chordata; Mammalia; Rodentia; Sciuridae. The record is from RNAcentral.